UCGAACGUUAACCAUCCUAGAUUCUUCUCCAUCAGAACCCUGUUCUCUGCUAAUACAAGCAGAGAAUCAACUGGCUGGCGUAUUACCUGUUUUAGGUGACACAUUUGCACUUUAAUAGCAGCCUUCUGGAGACACAGUGCCACAAACCAAGUCAGAGACUAAAGUUCCUGAGAAUGGAUUUUCCCAGUCCUGGAGGUGACCUUGUGGGUAACUGGGGGUUGGAGAAAUCCCAAGUUAUAGAGUUCCUUGAUUUGAGCAUUUGGGCACUAAACCUUCAAGAAGGAAAAUAUUUCCUCAACAGUACUCCUUGAGGAAGUAAGAUCACCGAUGUGACCUCUGCAGCUGGAAGACUAGAGCCACAUCAUGGGGAGCCAGGAUAUAUGGACCUUACCAACCUUCCAUUAAAUUGCUAUUGGUGAUCUCAUCUAUGUGGGAACUCCUUCCAGCAAUGAAGAUCACAACCCAUCCAUGAUUGAUUAUCCAGAGGAGCAUCCCUUGUGGAGAGGGGCCCUCUGUCCCUGCUACUACCAAUAUCAAAUGCUGACCUACUGCCACCACUGAGCAGAUAAGCCCAAGAAGACUGAGACAGCAGUUCCCUUCCCUAAACUCCCACCCCCAAACCCUGAUUUCAGCCUGGCCCCUGAAGCUAUCUUCCAAGGGACCAACCUUUAAAGUGAAGGGGUACAAUCAAUAGCUACCAAUGAUCAGCUAAACUCAGGAUCCUUGGGAAUAGUGGCACCCCAACUCAGAUCAUUGGACUAAUUCCAGGCCAGACACCACCCUGUAGCCAUCAUCCAAAGAACCACUGUGGCUAUGAGACCUGGUAACUGUCUCUGCAGUGGCUGCAACCACUCCUACUGAAGCCCUGGCAAGCAGAAACUUCUCAACACCAAAAUCCUUGGCACUGCUAAAUUUUAAA
Non-coding RNA from Phascolarctos cinereus (koala), 919 nucleotides. Lineage: Eukaryota; Metazoa; Chordata; Mammalia; Diprotodontia; Phascolarctidae. The record is from RefSeq and is a predicted model, not a curated record.